UGGGGAAUAUUGCACAAUGGGCGCAAGCCUGAUGCAGCCAUGCCGCGUGUGUGAAGAAGGCCUUCGGGUUGUAAAGCACUUUCAGCGGGCAGGAAGGCGAUAAGGUUAAUAACCUUGUCGAUUGACGUUACCCGCAGAAGAAGCACCGGCUAACUCCGUGCCAGCAGCCGCGGUAAUACGGAGGGUGCAAGCGUUAAUCGGAAUUACUGGGCGUAAAGCGCACGCAGGCGGUCUGUCAAGUCGGAUGUGAAAUCCCCGGGCUCAACCUGGGAACUGCAUUCGAAACUGGCAGGCUAGAGUCUUGUAGAGGGGGGUAGAAUUCCAGGUGUAGCGGUGAAAUGCGUAGAGAUCUGGAGGAAUACCGGUGGCGAAGGCGGCCCCCUGGACAAAGACUGACGCUCAGGUGCGAAAGCGUGGGGAGCAAACAGG
This 429-nucleotide ribosomal RNA is filed under the name Chloroflexota bacterium. Its description in RNAcentral is "Chloroflexi bacterium partial 16S ribosomal RNA". It matches the Rfam family "Bacterial small subunit ribosomal RNA", at positions 355 to 776 of the family's 1533-position model. The record is from RNAcentral. Lineage: Bacteria; Bacillati; Chloroflexota.